AAAGACAAAUGUCACUCUAAUGAUUAGAAUAAUAUUUUUUUAAUAAUUAUUUUAUUAUUGGAUAGUCACAUAAUAAAAAUUUAAAUUAUUAUAUUAUAACAGUAAAAAAAUACAACAGUUAUAGAAAAAACUAAAACUCGUCCAAAUAAGGGAUACAAAUAUCUUUAACUCUAAAAUUAAUUAUAAUUAAAGAUCAAAAUAUUUUAAGAAACAAAAGUACAAAGAUUAUAACAACUAUUUCCAUAAAUGUUUAUAGAAGACCUCGA
RNAcentral lists this long non-coding RNA (266 nucleotides) under Lathyrus oleraceus (garden pea). RNAcentral describes it as "Pisum sativum (pea) long non-coding RNA (PSAT_LNC027520)". Lineage: Eukaryota; Viridiplantae; Streptophyta; Magnoliopsida; Fabales; Fabaceae. The record is from RNAcentral.